ACGGGUGCGUAACGCGUAUGCAAUCUACCCUAUACAGGGGGAUAGCCCAGAGAAAUUUGGAUUAAUACCCCAUAGUAUAAUUGAAUGGCAUCAUUUGAUUAUUAAAGUUCCAACGGUAUAAGAUGAGCAUGCGUCCCAUUAGCUAGUUGGUGUGGUAACGGCACACCAAGGCGACGAUGGGUAGGGGUCCUGAGAGGGAGAUCCCCCACACUGGUACUGAGACACGGACCAG
RNAcentral lists this ribosomal RNA (232 nucleotides) under uncultured bacterium. RNAcentral's name for it is "partial 16S ribosomal RNA". It matches the Rfam family "Bacterial small subunit ribosomal RNA", at positions 102 to 334 of the family's 1533-position model. The record is from RNAcentral.